AGAACGAACGCUGGCGGCAUGCCUAAUACAUGCAAGUCGAACGAGACCUUCGGGUCUAGUGGCGCACGGGUGCGUAACGCGUGGGAAUCUACCCUUGGGUUCGGAAUAACAGUUGGAAACGACUGCUAAUACCGGAUGAUGACGAAAGUCCAAAGAUUUAUCGCCCAGGGAUGAGCCCGCGUAGGAUUAGCUAGUUGGUGAGGUAAAGGCUCACCAAGGCUACGAUCCUUAGCUGGUCUGAGAGGAUGAUCAGCCACACGUGGACUGAGACACCGGCCCA
Molecule: ribosomal RNA, 280 nt
Filed under: uncultured soil bacterium
Lineage: Bacteria
Description: partial 16S ribosomal RNA
Rfam family: Bacterial small subunit ribosomal RNA
Source: RNAcentral